RNAcentral lists this ribosomal RNA (253 nucleotides) under uncultured bacterium. Its description in RNAcentral is "partial 16S ribosomal RNA". It matches the Rfam family "Bacterial small subunit ribosomal RNA", at positions 524 to 776 of the family's 1533-position model. The record is from RNAcentral.
UACGUAGGGCGCAAGCGUUGUCCGGAAUUAUUGGGCGUAAAGAGCUCGUAGGCGGUCUGUCGCGUCUGCCGUGAAAACCCGAGGCUUAACCUCGGGCUGGCGGUGGAUACGGGCAGACUAGAGGCAGGUAGGGGAGAAUGGAAUUCCCGGUGUAGCGGUGAAAUGCGCAGAUAUCGGGAGGAACACCGGUGGCGAAGGCGGUUCUCUGGGCCUUACCUGACGCUGAGGAGCGAAAGCGUGGGGAGCGAACAGG